RNAcentral lists this ribosomal RNA (463 nucleotides) under uncultured bacterium. Its description in RNAcentral is "partial 16S ribosomal RNA". It matches the Rfam family "Bacterial small subunit ribosomal RNA", at positions 28 to 507 of the family's 1533-position model. The record is from RNAcentral.
GAUGAACGCUGACAGAAUGCUUAACACAUGCAAGUCGAUGGGGAAGUGGUGCUUGCACCAUGGCAACCAUGGCGGACGGGUGAGUAACGCGUAAGGGACUUACCUGCAGGACUGGGAUAACAGGGGGAAACUCCUGACAAGACCGGAUAAUGUCAUGGAGCUGCAUGGCUUUAUGAUGAAAGGAGACGCCUGCGGAGAGCCUUGCGUCCUAUUAGCUAGUUGGUGAGGUAAUGGCUCACCAAGGCGAAGAUAGGUAGCCGGCCUGAGAGGGUGGACGGCCAAAAGGGGACUGAGAUACGGCACUUACUCCUACGGGAGGCAGCAGGGGGGAAUAUUGGACCAAGGGGGCAACCCUGAUCCAGCAAUUCUGUGUGCACGAAGAAGGUUUUCGGAUUGUAAAGUGCUUUCAGCAGGGAAGAAGUAAGUGACGGUACCUGCAGAAGAAGCGACGGCUAAAUACGUG